Molecule: ribosomal RNA, 473 nt
Filed under: uncultured Methanosaeta sp.
Lineage: Archaea; Methanobacteriati; Methanobacteriota; Methanomicrobia; Methanotrichales; Methanotrichaceae
Description: bacterial SSU rRNA
Rfam family: Archaeal small subunit ribosomal RNA
Source: RNAcentral
UUGACGGGGGAGCACCACAACGGGUGGAGCUUGCGGUUUAAUUGGAUUCAACGCCGGAAAUCUUACCGGGACCGACAGCAAUAUGAAGGCCAGGCUGAAGACUUUGCCGGAUUAGCUGAGAGGUGGUGCAUGGCCGUCGUCAGUUCGUACUGUGAAGCAUCCUGUUAAGUCAGGCAACGAGCGAGACCCACGCCCACAGUUGCCAGCGUACUCUCUGGAGUGACGGGUACACUGUGGGACCGCCGCUGCUAAAGCGGAGGAAGGAAUGGGCAACGGUAGGUCAGUAUGCCCCGAAUAUCCCGGGCUACACGCGAGCUACAAUGGUUGGUACAAUGGGUAUCUACCCCGAAAGGGGACGGGAAUCUCCUAAAACCAAUCUUAGUUCGGAUUGAGGGCUGCAACUCGCCCUCAUGAAGCUGGAAUCCGUAGUAAUCGCGUUUCAACAGAACGCGGUGAAUACGUCCCUGCUCCUU